GCCGCGGUGGUGGAAUUGGUAUACACGUACGUUUGAGGGGCGUAUGGGGAAACCCGUGAGGGUUCGAGUCCCUCCCGCGGCA
This 82-nucleotide transfer RNA is filed under the name Elusimicrobiota bacterium. Its description in RNAcentral is "Elusimicrobia bacterium (groundwater metagenome) tRNA-Leu". It matches the Rfam family "tRNA". Rfam says of the family: Transfer RNA (tRNA) molecules are approximately 80 nucleotides in length. Lineage: Bacteria; Pseudomonadati; Elusimicrobiota. The record is from RNAcentral.